RNAcentral lists this long non-coding RNA (400 nucleotides) under Brassica rapa (field mustard). RNAcentral describes it as "long non-coding RNA (BRAP_LNC002401)". The record is from RNAcentral. Lineage: Eukaryota; Viridiplantae; Streptophyta; Magnoliopsida; Brassicales; Brassicaceae.
UAGGAUGUCAAUUUAGCUUACUGAAAGCUUUAGAUGCCCUCGUUUCCUCUCUAAUUAGGGAGAUUUCCGGCGAUCCUUUGUGUGGUGGCUUAUUGCCUUUUCUCUUAUUAUUUUUAUUUCCCUCACGGUGAGUGGACUUUAUUGACCGGCUAGUGUGACGAUCUGGUUUUUCCUUAUUUCAUUAUUUUCUUUCCUUCUUUAAGCUCUUUUUUUUCUUUCGUGACUGGAAAUUUCCAAUUUUCUUUCCUUGUGCCCAAAUUCUUUCUAUUUCUAAUGAUGUCCCAAAAAAUUGUGAUUGAUUUAUGUGUUAUUAAUGGAAGUUUCACAACAAUUACGCUAGAUCUUUUACCUAAGAACACGCGUAUCGUUUUUGUCUCCGCCGCCGGAAGCUUCAACUGUC